Molecule: ribosomal RNA, 981 nt
Filed under: Ryssonotus laticeps
Lineage: Eukaryota; Metazoa; Arthropoda; Insecta; Coleoptera; Lucanidae
Description: partial 16S ribosomal RNA
Rfam family: Archaeal large subunit ribosomal RNA (bases 447-614)
Source: RNAcentral
UAAAAUCUUAUUUAUAUAAAUUUAUCUCGAAUUGGGGGGAUCUAAAAAUUUAUUUAUUUUAAUGUAAAAUAAUUAUUUAUAAUAUUUUUUUUGUAAUUAUACGUUAGUCGAACCUUAAUAUAUCUAGUUUUCUAAGAAAUUAAUUAAAUUAAAUUUAACACGAUGAUUUUGAAUUAUUUAUAAUGAUUAAUUAAAUGUUAAAAAAUGGAGAAUGGGAUAAUCUAUUUUUCUUAUUUUUAUAAUUUUUCCAUAAAAAAUAAAUCAUAGAAUUAGAAGUGUUCAUUGUUAAAAGUUUGUUAUAAAUUAUUAUUUUAUAAAUUGAUUUUCUUUAAGUUUAGAUUUUUUAUUAGAAAAUUUGUUUAAGCUGAGUAUUCAAAGAUAUAAUGAUAGAAUUAGUAUAAUUAAAUGUUUACAUAUACAAAAAUGAAAGGUUAUUCUAAGGAACUUGGCAUAAACUUUUUGCCUGUUUAAUAAAAACAUGUCCUCUGGAGAUCAUAUGAGGUCAGACCUGCCCAAUGAUAAUUUGAAUGGCCGCGGUAUUUUGACCGUGCAAAGGUAGCAUAAUAAUUAGUUUUUUAAUUGAAAGCUUGUAUGAAUGGUUUGACAAGAAAGUUUCUGUCUCAGUGUAAUUUUAUUAAAAAUUUAUUUUUAAGUUAAAAAGCUUAAAUGAUUUUAGGGGACGAGAAGACCCUAUAGAAUUUUAUAGGCUUAAUAGUAGGUUUUUGUUAUUUAUAAUUACUAUUAUUUAUCUUAUUUUGUUGGGGUGACAGGAAAAUUGAAUUAACUUUUCUUUUAAUAGUUCAUUGAUUUAUGAUUUGUUGAUCCAAUAUUUGAUUAUAAGAACAAAUUACCUUAGGGAUAACAGCGUAAUUUAGUUAGAGAGUUCUUAUCGAUAGCUAAGUUUGCGACCUCGAUGUUGGAUUAAAAUUAAUUUUUGGUGCAGAAGCUGGAAAAUUAAGUCUGUUCGACUUUUAAAAUUUU